Molecule: ribosomal RNA, 433 nt
Filed under: uncultured bacterium
Lineage: Bacteria
Description: partial 16S ribosomal RNA
Rfam family: Bacterial small subunit ribosomal RNA
Source: RNAcentral
AACGAACGCUGGCGACAGGCCUAACACAUGCAAGUCGAACGAAGUCUUCGGACUUAGUGGCGCACGGGUGAGUAACACGUGGGAAUAUACCUUACGCUGGGGGAUAACAUCGGGAAACUGAUGCUAAUACCGCAUACGCCCUUCGGGGGAAAGAUUUAUCGGCGAAAGAUUAGCCCGCGUCCGAUUAGCUAGUUGGUGAGGUAAUGGCUCACCAAGGCUCCGAUCGGUAGCUGGUCUGAGAGGAUGACCAGCCACACUGGGACUGAGACACGGCCCAGACUCCUACGGGAGGCAGCAGUGGGGAAUAUUGGACAAUGGGCGCAAGCCUGAUCCAGCCAUGCCGCGUGAGUGAUGAAGGCCUUAGGGUUGUAAAGCUCUUUCAACCACGACGAUGAUGACGGUAGUGGGAGAAGAAGCCCCGGCUAACUUCGUG